RNAcentral lists this ribosomal RNA (497 nucleotides) under uncultured bacterium. Its description in RNAcentral is "partial 16S ribosomal RNA". It matches the Rfam family "Bacterial small subunit ribosomal RNA", at positions 28 to 507 of the family's 1533-position model. The record is from RNAcentral.
GAUGAACGCUGGCGGCGUGCCUAAUACAUGCAAGUCGAGCGAACAGACGAGGAGCUUGCUCCUCUGACGUUAGCGGCGGACGGGUGAGUAACACGUGGAUAACCUACCUAUAAGACUGGGAUAACUUCGGGAAACCGGAGCUAAUACCGGAUAAUAUAUUGAACCGCAUGGUUCAAUAGUGAAAGACGGUUUUGCUGUCACUUAUAGAUGGAUCCGCGCCGCAUUAGCUAGUUGGUAAGGUAACGGCUUACCAAGGCAACGAUGCGUAGCCGACCUGAGAGGGUGAUCCGCCAAACUGGAACUGAGGCACGGUCCAGACUCCUACGGGAGGCAGCAGUAGGGAAUCUUCCGCAAUGGGCGAAAGCCUGACGGAGCAACGCCGCGUGAGUGAUGAAGGUCUUCGGAUCGUAAAACUCUGUUAUUAGGGAAGAACAAAUGUGUAAGUAACUAUGCACGUCUUGACGGUACCUAAUCAGAAAGCCACGGCUAACUACGUG